RNAcentral lists this long non-coding RNA (1874 nucleotides) under Sus scrofa (pig). RNAcentral's name for it is "lncRNA (ENSSSCG00065062141.1)". The record is from RNAcentral. Lineage: Eukaryota; Metazoa; Chordata; Mammalia; Artiodactyla; Suidae.
CGCCGGAUUAUGAAUGACGGCAGGUGCUGCUGUUUCCCCGGCGCUGCUUCUGUUGUUUUUUUCCCUGCCGCGUGGAGCUGCGAGCGGUCUGCGGACGAAGACUUCCUAAAGCGACCUCGGGAAACCCGGCUCGGGCGGGGCGGGAAUGCGCUGGCGGCCAGUGUUGACACCAAAAUGAUUCUUCAUUUAUAGGAGGACCGAGACCCACUAUGACCAAGUUAAUGGAAAAAGGCAUUGAAGUAAUGUUUUCUCCCCACCCUUGCCCUACUUGGACUCUUGAUUGGAAUACUCUUCCUGCAGCAGUGAGCCCAAAGGAAGGUAAGUGGUUUUUUUCUCUCCUUUAAAUGUUACUCUUAAUCUGGAUACCCUCUUCAGAUCCAUCUUCCAGUUCUCUAGUUCUCUCUUUGACUAUAUCUAAUAUUCUGAUCAUACUAUCCAUUGAGUUUUUGUUGUUGUUUUUUAAUGUACUUGGCGCCUUUUUUUCCCGUUCUUCUACUUCUUUAAGGGUUCUAUAAUUAAAAAAAAAAAAAUUUAUUGGAGUAUAGUUGAUUACCAAUGUUGUGUCAGUUUCAGGUGUACCGUACAGUGAAUCAGUUAUACAUAUACCCAUUUUUUCAGAUUCUUUUUCAUAUUUCUUGUUACGUAAUAUUGAGUAGAGUUCCCUGUGCUAUAUAAUUGGUCUUUCUUGGUUAUUCUAUUUUAUAACCAUUGAGAUUUUGUUUUAUCUUUAUUACAAAAAUUCUACAUGUACAUAUCACUCCAAUUUCCUACAUUUUCCUACAUUUGCUUCCUCUGUUCCUUUUUGUUUUCUUUGCUAAUGUACUUUGAAGCCUAUCCCAGAUCACAUGUCGUACUAUAGUAUAUACAUCUAAAAAAUAUUGACCUCUUAAAUAAUCACCUUAUCAUUGUCAUGGUUAAUAAAAAUUUCUUCAUCAUCUAAUAACCAGUUCAUAAUCAUCUCCCCCUAAUUGUUUAAAUUAUUGUUUGAAAACUAUUUUGAUAGUUAGAUUUUUAGUUAAAUAAUCAUAUUUUUAUUGCUAAAAUUUAUAUUUGGUUUGUUUUGGUAAUAAACCAUUCUUUGCUUGUAUUUCAGUUUCCUCUUUUUAUAAUUAUUUAAACAUAGGGAUUUUAUAUUCUGUAUUUGUUAUUUCUAUUAGCUGAUAUCCAUGGAGGUCUAAUUCUGCUGUUGUUUCUGUUGACUUCACUCCUGGUGUCCUGUAUCCCCAUUAGUUUUGUAAUUUUAGAUUAUAAAUUCAUUUUUUGGGUUACCUGAGUCUGGGAACCAUGAAGGACCUGGGUUAGGAAUGAAUUCCCAUGGAAAGGAUUUAUGUUUGUUUAUGCUAGGCAUCUUAAACUAUAGAACUUAAGGCAUUAGAACUCAAUUUAUCAUUAUUUUUUCAGGUUGAGAUUUCUUCAGCCUUUUCUCUCUGGAGCUGAACUUUAAACAGAAAAGUUAAUGUUUAUUACCUUCCUUUGCUGUUGGGUAGAGGUCUUUUUUUUUUUUAAAUGCAUCUUUUCAUAAUUAAUAUGGAUUUUCAAGAUUUUUCUUUUCAUGUACUGAUAGUAGUUUCAGUUCUCUGCCAUGGGCUCAAGGACUACCCUCUCUUCUUUGCCUUGCUCUUAAAGCCUCAAUCCCUGCUAUCAGCAAAUACCCUCCAGGCAGCUGUGGUGUCAGUUCAAGAUUAUUACAGAGCAUUUUUAGUUCCUUUCCCCCUUUAUAAGAACGUAUGGAUUUUUCUUACUCUCAGAAAUCCAGUUAAAUAUGUAAAGGAAGAUUGUUGAAAAUUAAAUGCCAUUUUAGGUAUUUUUAGGUGUUUUAUAGCUCAGUGUUCUAUUUCUUUAAUUGUUCAUGUAUUCUUUAGUUUUCUACAAAU